UAGAGUUGUAAAACUCCCAAACCCAUGUGAACAUACCUCUGUUGCCUCGGUGGCCUACCCUGUAGUUACCCUGUAGCUACCCUGUAGUCCGCCGAAGGACCAAAACUCUUUUAUUAUUGUAUCUCUGAGUAAAAAACAAAUAAGUUA
RNAcentral lists this unclassified non-coding RNA (147 nucleotides) under uncultured Sordariomycetes. Its description in RNAcentral is "sequence contains ITS1". Lineage: Eukaryota; Fungi; Ascomycota; Sordariomycetes. The record is from RNAcentral.